UAGGCACAGCUUAUAUUCUUC
Molecule: non-coding RNA, 21 nt
Filed under: Caenorhabditis elegans
Lineage: Eukaryota; Metazoa; Nematoda; Chromadorea; Rhabditida; Rhabditidae
Source: RNAcentral